UACGGAGGAUUCAAGCGUUAUCCGGAUUUAUUGGGUUUAAAGGGUGCGUAGGUUGUUUUUUAAGUCAGCGGUGAAAGUUUGUGGCUCAACCAUAAAAUUGCCGUUGAAACUGGAAGACUUGAGUGUGUUUGAGGUAGGCGGAAUGCGUGGUGUAGCGGUGAAAUGCUUAGAGAUCAUACAGAACACCGAUUGCGAAGGCAGCUUACCAAGCUACUUCUGACGUUGAGGCACGAAAGCGUGGGGAGCAAAAAGG
This 253-nucleotide ribosomal RNA is filed under the name uncultured Parabacteroides sp. RNAcentral describes it as "partial 16S ribosomal RNA". It matches the Rfam family "Bacterial small subunit ribosomal RNA", at positions 524 to 776 of the family's 1533-position model. The record is from RNAcentral. Lineage: Bacteria; Pseudomonadati; Bacteroidota; Bacteroidia; Bacteroidales; Tannerellaceae.